This 224-nucleotide long non-coding RNA is filed under the name Vigna radiata. Its description in RNAcentral is "long non-coding RNA (VRAD_LNC017568)". The record is from RNAcentral. Lineage: Eukaryota; Viridiplantae; Streptophyta; Magnoliopsida; Fabales; Fabaceae.
AUGGCUCCAAAAGGGCUAAAAACCCCUAGAACGAUCUAAAGAACGUCCAAAACGGACAUCCAGAAUCCCACAAACUAUCAAAAACAAACACAACAGCAGAAAAGGGCGCCCAUGCGCCAUAAUUUAGCUGAAACAGUGCAUUGAAGGGCGCCCAACGCCCUUUAGGGGCGCCCAGGCGUGGAUUCUGUAGAUAUUCUACAGAUUUUGCAGAUUUUGCAGAACUC